This 753-nucleotide ribosomal RNA is filed under the name uncultured cyanobacterium. RNAcentral's name for it is "bacterial SSU rRNA". It matches the Rfam family "Bacterial small subunit ribosomal RNA", at positions 28 to 829 of the family's 1533-position model. Lineage: Bacteria; Bacillati; Cyanobacteriota. The record is from RNAcentral.
GAUGAACGCUGGCGGUCUGCUUAACACAUGCAAGUCGAACGGGCUCUUCGGAGCUAGUGGCGGACGGGUGAGUAACGCGUGAGGAUCUGCCCUUAGGACGGGGACAACAGUUGGAAACGACUGCUAAUACCCGAUGUGCCGAGAGGUGAAACUAUUUGGCCUGAGGAUGAGCUCGCGUCUGAUUAGCUAGUUGGAGUGGUAACGGCACACCAAGGCGACGAUCAGUAGCUGGUCUGAGAGGAUGAUCAGCCACACUGGGACUGAGACACGGCCCAGACUCCUACGGGAGGCAGCAGUGGGGAAUUUUCCGCAAUGGGCGAAAGCCUGACGGAGCAAGACCGCGUGCGGGAGGAAGGUCUAUUGACUGUAAACCGCUUUUGAUAGGGAAGAAGAUCUGACGGUACCUAUCGAAUCAGCAUCGGCUAACUCCGUGCCAGCAGCCGCGGUAAUACGGGGGAUGCAAGCGUUAUCCGGAAUGAUUGGGCGUAAAGCGUCCGUAGGUGGUUUUAUAAGUCUGUUGUCAAAUCGCGAGGCUUAACCUCGUACAGGCAGUGGAAACUAUAAGACUAGAGUGCGGUAGGGGUAGAGGGAAUUUCCAGUGUAGCGGUGAAAUGCGUAGAUAUUGGAAGAACGCCGGUGGCGAAGGCGCUCUACUGGGCUGCACUGACACUGAGGGACGAAAGCUAGGGGAGCGAAAGGGAUUAGAUACCCCUGUAGUCCUAGCCGUAAACGAUGGAAACUAGGUGUUGCCCG